GACGAACGCUGGCGGCGUGCUUAACACAUGCAAGUGGAGCGACGAACCAGGGCUUGCCCUGGGGCAAAGCCGCGAACGGGUGAGUAACACGUGGGUAACCUGCCCCGACGACUGGGACAACCCGAGGAAACUCGGGCUAAUACCGGAUAAAUUCACCGCUCAUAAGUGCGGUGAUUAAAGGAGGCUUCGGCUUCCGCAUCGGGAGGGGCCCGCGGCCCAUUAGCUUGUUGGUGGGGUGAUGGCCACCAAGGCGACGACGGGUAGCCGGCCUGAGAGGGCGACCGGCCACACUGGGACUGAGACACGGCCCAGACUCCUACGGGAGGCAGCAGUGGGGAAUCUUGCGCAAUGGGCGAAAGCCUGACGCAGCGACGCCGCGUGAGGGAUGACGGCCU
Molecule: ribosomal RNA, 395 nt
Filed under: uncultured bacterium
Lineage: Bacteria
Description: bacterial SSU rRNA
Rfam family: Bacterial small subunit ribosomal RNA
Source: RNAcentral